Molecule: long non-coding RNA, 708 nt
Organism: Pyrgilauda ruficollis (rufous-necked snowfinch)
Lineage: Eukaryota; Metazoa; Chordata; Aves; Passeriformes; Passeridae
Exons: 2
Source: RefSeq, a predicted model, not a curated record
CUCACUGCCCCCCGGGUUUUUUUGGGAGGCACAGCCUUCCCAUUCGCUGCCGCCUGCCAUUUGACCGCAGAUAUGACUAUAUAUGGGAUGCGAUGGGCGAGAAUAGCAGAAAUUUGGCAGUAGAAACAUGACUGCAAGAGCAUUGGGACUAGAUAAACUUCUGCUCUCCUGUCUUCACGAAAAAACCAUUUACUCCAGAAAUAGCUGAAAACCUGUCUGUUGGAAGAGUUAUGAUGACUGGGGAAAGAUGACAACCUUCAGGACAUUAUGGGGUGCUUAAUUUACUUCACAUGUGGGCACAGGAAGCAGUCACUGUUGUGAGUACACAACACAUAACCAAGAUGAAAUUUUCCAGAAGUUCCCAAAGAAGCCCUCAACUGCUAUUGAGAGUCAAUAGGCAUAACCAGUCAUCGGCUUUUAUUGAGUGGAAGAGAAAAAUGAGGAAGAAGAAACCUAGAACUACAUUUUUUAUCUGUCCCUAUCACUGGCUGUGAUAAAGCACAAGAACGUAACAACACAGAACAGAGAAGAAGAAGUCUGAUGAAGAGAGGCAGAAUGGGGGCAAAAUAGGAGGCAGAGUCCUGUGGCCCUUGUUCAUUCUCUAAAUAUUCCCUCUGAAACCAGAACUAUGUCAGGAAUCUCAGCUUUCAAAAACAAAGUCUCUUUCCUACACUUAAAAAUGGCCUGACAGAUUAAAUUCAAACGUAA